RNAcentral lists this transfer RNA (618 nucleotides) under Nostoc sp. 'Peltigera membranacea cyanobiont' N6. RNAcentral's name for it is "16S-23S ribosomal RNA intergenic spacer". The stretch from base 290 to 362 matches the Rfam family "tRNA". Lineage: Bacteria; Bacillati; Cyanobacteriota; Cyanophyceae; Nostocales; Nostocaceae. The record is from RNAcentral.
UUAGGGAGACCUACACCCCUUACAGUUCGAAAAGCAAACAGCUAUAUAGAACGUAAGUUGGUCUAACCUAGGUCGGUCGCAGACAUUUGCAUCAUGUAUUUUGAAAGCUUUCAAACUAUGAUUUGGUUCGUUUAUGGGCUAUUAGCUCAGGUGGUUAGAGCGCACCCCUGAUAAGGGUGAGGUCCCUGGUUCGAGUCCAGGAUGGCCCACCUGAAAGUAAUUAGUAAUUGCCAAUUCGCAAUUCGUAAUUAAAGACGAGUUAAGAGUUGUGAGUUAAGAAUUAUAAUCUGGGGGUUUAGCUCAGUUGGUAGAGCGCCUGCUUUGCAAGCAGGAUGUCAGCGGUUCGAGUCCGCUAACCUCCACCUGUGGCAAGAUUGCCAUUGAAAAAAAUAUUGAGAGUUCAGCAACAUGACUUAAGAGUCAGACUGCUGAGUUAGUCCUCAGCCAGAACCUUGAAAACUGCAUAGUAACGCAAAAUUAGCAGGCAGACACAGACAUUCUUAGUGAUGAGUGCCCAGUGCUGAGUAGUGAGUAAAAUCAGUGCGAAGUAACGAGGUAAUCAGAACUAACUAUUUGCUUUUGUGAAGGCAAGUUAUAAAAAGACCAAAUGUAUUGAGU